This 253-nucleotide ribosomal RNA is filed under the name uncultured bacterium. Its description in RNAcentral is "partial 16S ribosomal RNA". It matches the Rfam family "Bacterial small subunit ribosomal RNA", at positions 524 to 776 of the family's 1533-position model. The record is from RNAcentral.
UACGUAGGGUGCAAGCGUUAAUCGGAAUUACUGGGCGUAAAGCGUGCGCAGGCGGUUUUGUAAGUCUGUCGUGAAAUCCCCGGGCUCAACCUGGGAAUUGCAUUCGAGACUGCAUUGCUGGAGUACGGAAGAGGAGGGCGGAAUUCCCGGUGUAGCGGUGAAAUGCGUAGAUAUCGGGAGGAACAUCAGUGGCGAAGGCGGCCCUCUGGUCCAGUACUGACACUCAAGUGCGAAAGCGUGGGGAGCAAACAGG